GCUUUCUUCAUACCUGCAGAUGUGUGUUCAACUAGUGCUACUGCAGAUCCCACAAGCACUGCAUGGGAUAUGUCACACAUUUCAGACAAAGAGCAGAUGUUGAGUGUAUCUCCAACCCAUGCAAGGGAUUUAGGCAUCUUGAUGAGGCGGAUUGAUUCCUCGUCAGAGCAGCCCACAAGAUUAAUGGAUAAUUUCACAUCUGGUGGAUACUUGGCUCUAUGAUGCAAAGCUCGAGCUCCUCUCAGUGAUGUAAAUGCUGACGUACCUUCAGAGCACGCCCCCACUCUCUCAAAGAUGGAAAGCUCAAGCAGGAAGCAUUCCAGGAGAGGAAGGAUGGAUGUAAUUCUUCAGCAGAGGAUGCUGCAAACAUGAAUCCAUCUUUUUCAUAACAACUCCUCCAAGCUUUUCCAUGAUGUCAAGAAGAUUUUCAGAAAGCGGUGCCUCUUCCUCAUCCACAAGAAUAAUGGGGGAUGGAGAUUUGAGACGUAGAAGCUUAACUACGUCCAUGCUUUCCUCAAGUGGCACAAGUGGGAUCAAAGGCAUGUCUUCAAAGGUUCCCAUCUGACAAUGAAGUCUCUAGUUGGCCAGGCUGUUGAUAGGAUGUCCUUGAUGAGUCGAGCUGAUCGUUCAGGGUUCAGUACUUGUAGUUGGGUGCAGGCUCUUCCUGUUCAAACAACAAGGGGAAAUUUAAUUCGUUUCAGUAAUUAUGAUAGAAGUUGCCAAAUGUUAACUGUCAAAGUUGAACAAGCUAGCAUUGUUGUUUUUAUAUUAGAAAUUAGUGUUGUUGCUGUUUUACAAUGCAGCAGUCUGAAGUUAAAACUUUUUUUUUCUUACACUUCUUGACACAAUUUUGCUCCACUCAUUGAGGAAUGAUAAGACUCUCAGGACAAAUGUCAUGUAAAUUCAGGGGCAAAGCAGAUGAUUGAGACUUCUCUUUUUUAGUAAUCAAUAUCAAACCUUUUUUCAAAUGAAAAACUCUCUUGCCUUCAAAUUGCCACCAUGGAAAAACAUUGCAGUUACUUAGAUAAUAACUUGUCAAAACUGUCAAAAAACAAUCCACCAGAAUCAGUUUCGAAAAAAAUUAGGGGGUAGCACUACACAAAUAGAUACAUUUUAAAAUUAAUACUGUUAAAUAAAGAACAAAAUACGAAUAAUUAGUAUGCAUACUCUUAAUUUCAGACUUACAGAAUUGUUGCAGCACAUGCACAAAUCAUGUUCUGAUCACAAAAGCACACAGUUUGUCAGUUUUCAACCCUACAAGUUAUAAAGUGCACCAUGAAACACUGUAGUAAAUGUGUAUAAAAUAAGUUAUAAUGAUUCAAGAGUAAACGUGUGUCACUUAUAGGACAGAAACUAAAUAUUUCUGUUAAAGUUUUCUGACUGCAGUUAUCAUGGUGCACAGGUACAGCCAUGCCUUAGUUAGGUUAACAGUAAAAAGGCCCAAUACUUAAAGGUCCAGUGUGUAGGAUUAAGGGACAGAAAAGGAACACAGAGAUGGGGUUGUUCAGUUGGUUGCGAUGUGCAACGACACCGCUAGAUGCCACUCAAUCAUACAUAAUGGACCUAUAACACAC
This is a long non-coding RNA of Acanthopagrus latus (yellowfin seabream), 1574 nucleotides long. RefSeq lists it as uncharacterized. NCBI's taxonomy places the organism in Eukaryota, Metazoa, Chordata, Actinopteri, Spariformes, Sparidae. The transcript has 4 exons. The record is from RefSeq and is a predicted model, not a curated record.